AACGAACGCUGGCGGCAUGCCUAACACAUGCAAGUCGAACGAGACCUUCGGGUCUAGUGGCGCACGGGUGCGUAACGCGUGGGAACCUGCCCUUAGGUUCGGCAUAACUCCCCGAAAGGGGUGCUAAUACCGGAUAAUGUCUUCGGCCCAAAGAUUUAUCGCCUUUGGAUGGGCCCGCGUUGGAUUAGCUAGUUGGUAGGGUAAAAGCCUACCAAGGCGACGAUCCAUAGCUGGUCUGAGAGGAUGAUCAGCCACACUGGGACUGAGACACGGCCCAGACUCCUACGGGAGGCAGCAGUGGGGAAUAGUGGACAAUGGGCGAAAGCCUGAUCCAGCAAUGCCGCGUGAGUGAUGAAGGCCUUAGGGUUGUAAAGCUCUUUUACCCGGGAUGAUAAUGACAGUACCGGGAGAAUAAGCUCCGGCUAACUCCGUG
This 433-nucleotide ribosomal RNA is filed under the name uncultured bacterium. RNAcentral describes it as "partial 16S ribosomal RNA". It matches the Rfam family "Bacterial small subunit ribosomal RNA", at positions 29 to 507 of the family's 1533-position model. The record is from RNAcentral.